UACGGAGGGGGCUAGCGUUGUUCGGAAUUACUGGGCGUAAAGCGCACGUAGGCGGCUUUGUAAGUUAGAGGUGAAAGCCCGGGGCUCAACUCCGGAAUUGCCUUUAAGACUGCAUCGCUAGAAUUGUGGAGAGGUAAGUGGAAUUCCGAGUGUAGAGGUGAAAUUCGUAGAUAUUCGGAAGAACACCAAUUGCGAAGGCAGGUUACUAAGCAACAACUGACGCUGAUGGACGAAAGCGUGGGGAGCGAACAGG
Molecule: ribosomal RNA, 253 nt
Filed under: uncultured bacterium
Lineage: Bacteria
Description: partial 16S ribosomal RNA
Rfam family: Bacterial small subunit ribosomal RNA
Source: RNAcentral